GCGAAAGGGAUUAGAUACCCCUGUAGUCUUAGCCGUACACGAUGGAUACUAGGCGUGGUUUGUAUCGACCCAAGCCGUGCCGAAGCUAACGCGUUAAGUAUCCCGCUUGGGGAGUACGCAGGCAAGUGUGAAACUCAAAGGAAUUGACGGGGGACCCGCACAAGCGCUGGAGGAUGUGGUUUUAUUCGAUGCAACGCGAAGAACCUGACCAGGGCUUGACAUCCCGCGAAUCUCAAGGAAAGUGGACGAGUGCAGGCGGGAGCGCAGAGACAGCUGGUGCAUGGCGGUCGUCAGCUCGUGUCGUGAGAUAUUGGGUUAAGUCCCGCAACGAGCGCAACCCUCGUCCAUAGUUGCCUGCUAGUUGAGUUGGGCACUCUAGGGAGACUGUACGUUGACAAACCGGAGGAAGGUGAGGAUGACGUCAAGUUAGCAUGCCCAAUAUGCUCUGGGCAACUACACAGUCUUACAAUGGUUGGUCAAAGGGGAGAGAGCUACCGAGAGUCAGCGAAUCUCAGCAAACAUCGGCCUCAGUUAAGAUGGCAGUCUGCAAAUCGCCUGCAUGAAGGAGGAAUCGAUAGUAAUCGCAGGUCAGCAUACUGCCGGUGAAUUCGUUCCCGGGCCUUGUACACACCGCCUAGUCACACCAUGGAGCUGGCCAAGCCAGAAGUCGUUACCCUAACCGUUGGCGGAGGGGGGCGCCUAAGCAUGGGCUGAUGAGCUGGGCGUAGUCUAANCA
This 736-nucleotide ribosomal RNA is filed under the name uncultured organism. RNAcentral describes it as "bacterial SSU rRNA". It matches the Rfam family "Bacterial small subunit ribosomal RNA", at positions 768 to 1493 of the family's 1533-position model. The record is from RNAcentral.